UACUUUGCGCAGAGGCAAUAUCGUAACCAAUGAGGUUAAUCCGAGGUGCGAUUAUUGCUAGUUGAAAUAUAGAAGUAAGAUAUAUUAAAUUUGUAUACUAGGAAAUGAUAGUUUUUUUUAAUGCAAAAAUUUA
This is a small nuclear RNA of Nymphalis io (European peacock), 133 nucleotides long. RefSeq annotates it as U4 spliceosomal RNA. Lineage: Eukaryota; Metazoa; Arthropoda; Insecta; Lepidoptera; Nymphalidae. The record is from RefSeq and is a predicted model, not a curated record. The transcript has a single exon.